CGCUCUUUGUUUCGACAAAGGGAGGAAAGUCCGGGCUCCAAAGGGCAGGGUGCCAGGUAACUCCUGGGAGGUGUGAACCUACGGAAAGUGCCACAGAAAAUAUACCGCCCGCUUGUUCUUCUUUUUGAGGCUGGUCCUUAAAUUGAUUAGAGCAAGCGGGUAAGGGUGAAAUGGUGCGGUAAGAGCGCACCGCGCGAUUGGCAACAGUCGUGGCAGGGAAAACCCCACCCGGAGCAAGACCAAAUAGGAAUCCAGUUGACUGCAAAGUCAUAUCGUGCGGCCCGCACGGGAUUCGGGUAGGUCGCUUGAGGCGUACGGUGACGUGUGUCCCAGAUGAAUGAUUGUCCGCG
This 350-nucleotide RNase P RNA is filed under the name Legionella quateirensis. Its description in RNAcentral is "partial ribonuclease P RNA". It matches the Rfam family "Bacterial RNase P class A", at positions 18 to 314 of the family's 367-position model. From Rfam's summary of the family: Ribonuclease P (RNase P) is a ubiquitous endoribonuclease, found in archaea, bacteria and eukarya as well as chloroplasts and mitochondria. Its best characterised activity is the generation of mature 5'-ends of tRNAs by cleaving the 5'-leader elements of precursor-tRNAs. The record is from RNAcentral. Lineage: Bacteria; Pseudomonadati; Pseudomonadota; Gammaproteobacteria; Legionellales; Legionellaceae.